UCUGGUGGUUCUACUGAAGAGGUCACACCUGAUCCCAUCUCGAACUCAGCAGUUAAGCUCUUUAAGGCUGAUGGUAGUAGUCCGUUAGGACUGUGAGAGUAAGUCAUCGCCAGAA
This 115-nucleotide ribosomal RNA is filed under the name bacterium. The record is from RNAcentral.